Long non-coding RNA from Galleria mellonella (greater wax moth), 900 nucleotides. RefSeq lists it as uncharacterized. The record is from RefSeq and is a predicted model, not a curated record. Lineage: Eukaryota; Metazoa; Arthropoda; Insecta; Lepidoptera; Pyralidae. The transcript is spliced from 6 exons.
UGUCCCGAUGGGCGCGGGCGGGAACGCGUCGUGUUGCGGUACAGUGAAAGUGGCAUGGUAGCAGCACCGUGCCGCGGUGAGGGCGAGCGCGGUCGAUGAGCCCAAUGCAGAGGGCAGCACGGAGCUGUCGGGUAGGUGGGGCGAGCUCCCCGCAACCGUUUCAUCUCCCCGUCUGCUUGCGCACUUUGUAGAGCCGCGCCGCGCGCUCACUAAUGCGUCAUACUGCCAUCGAAAUUGACGCGCGUGCCGUUCCUCCGCUUCGACACUUCGCGCGCGCCAUGUGAACUUCAGUGUUGACUUACAUACAGACUAAGACGUGUUGGCUUAAUCGAUACGCAUCUCUGCGAUUUAGUUUGAACAAUUGUAACCAUGGACAGUGACUUUGGUGCCUGUAGCAGUUCCCGUGACUCUACAAUGGUGCACGAGGUUGGCGCACGUGCUCACAUUUCAAUUUCGAAAAUGAAAAUGGAGAUAGGCGUACCCUGGUUUUCAUUUUUAUCAAGUGGAAUAUGGAGUUUUAGGAACGCAAGACUACAAAAUAGCGUAAACAUCGAUUUUUCAGGUAGAGAUGGCGUUGGUGAUAGAUAGCUUGGCCUUCGGCAACAUGACAUGAAUUGUGAGACAACAUCGAAUUUCUGUGGAUUGAGAUUAUGGCUGACUAAACAACCGUAGGCGUUAAUGCUGAUUGAUGUCUUGAAAUUUUUAAUCCAGUGUUCAGCUCGCAAUACGGUGCGCGGCGGAGGCAAGCGGGGGGCCUGUACAGCUGAUCGCCCGACUUACACAGAUCACUAUCAUGCUCCUGUCGAAUCAAGAUGCGAUAUUUUUUGUUAAAUAAGGAAAUCAAAGUGCUUGUGAUAUAUUUAUAAUUAUUUUAAAUAAAAUUAUUCUUACAUAGCUAAA